RNAcentral lists this ribosomal RNA (301 nucleotides) under uncultured bacterium. Its description in RNAcentral is "partial 16S ribosomal RNA". It matches the Rfam family "Bacterial small subunit ribosomal RNA", at positions 509 to 807 of the family's 1533-position model. The record is from RNAcentral.
CAGCAGCCACGGUAAAACGGAGGGUGCAAGCGUUAUCCGGAUUUAUUGGGUUUAAAGGGUCCGUAGGCGGAUCUGUAAGUCAGUGGUGAAAUCUCACAGCUUAACUGUGAAACUGCCAUUGAUACUGCAGGUCUUGAGUAAAUUUGAAGUGGCUGGAAUAAGUAGUGUAGCGGUGAAAUGCAUAGAUAUUACUUAGAACACCAAUUGCGAAGGCAGGUCACUAAGAUUUAACUGACGCUGAUGGACGAAAGCGUGGGGAGCGAACAGGAUUAGAUACCCCUGUAGUCCCUGUCUCUUAUAC